GAUGAAGAACGUAGCAAAAUGCGAUAAGUAAUGUGAAUUGCAGAAUUCAGUGAAUCAUCGAAUCUUUGAACGCACAUUGCGCCCGCUGGUUUUCCGGCGGGCAUGCCUGUUCGAGCGUCAUUUCAACCCUCAAGCCCCCGGGUUUGGUGUUGGGGAUCGGCUCUGCCCUUCUGGGCGGUGCCGCCCCCGAAAUACAUUGGCGGUCUCGCUGCAGCCUCCAUUGCGUAGUAGCUAACACCUCGCAACUGGAACGCGGCGCGGCCAUGCCGUAAAACCCCAACUUCUGAAUGUUGACCUCGGAUCAGGUAGGAAUACCCGCUGAACUUAAGCAUAUCAAUAAGCGGAGGA
This 348-nucleotide unclassified non-coding RNA is filed under the name soil metagenome. RNAcentral's name for it is "partial contains 5.8S ribosomal RNA, internal transcribed spacer 2, and large subunit ribosomal RNA". The stretch from base 1 to 120 matches the Rfam family "5.8S ribosomal RNA", at positions 35 to 154 of the family's 154-position model. The record is from RNAcentral.